CAAAAACAUAGCUACGUGAUAUUACCCGUAGUGCUUUCUGCUCAAUGAGUCUUAAAUAGCCGCAGUACCUUGACUGUGCAAAGGUAGCGAAAUCAUUUGUCUUCUAAUUAAAGUCUUGUAUCAACGAAUAUAUGGGGACCUACUGUACCGGCGAUAGCACUUGAAAUUGCUAAGGGCGUGCAAAUUCGCCCAACCACUUAAUAGACGAGAAGACCCUAGAAAUUUUGACACACGUUUUUGUUGGGGCAACAUAGUAACAGAGAACUUACUCUAUGUACAUGCAAACUUUUUGAUAGCAUAAAUUACUCUAGGGAUAACAGCAUAAUGCAUCAGCGUUUGUGACCUCGAUGUUGGAUUAGGAAGCUAUAACCUAGAAGGUGUUUAGACUUGCUCUGUUCGAG
RNAcentral lists this ribosomal RNA (401 nucleotides) under Ventopelita mansueta. RNAcentral describes it as "partial 16S ribosomal RNA". It matches the Rfam family "Archaeal large subunit ribosomal RNA", at positions 1900 to 2654 of the family's 2987-position model. Lineage: Eukaryota; Metazoa; Mollusca; Gastropoda; Stylommatophora; Camaenidae. The record is from RNAcentral.